UCGGGCGGCUGGCGGGCGCCGUACGCGCCGGGUUGGAGACCCGGUGGGCCGCCGUCGUGCUCCCCGACGGCACCCGGU
Molecule: transfer RNA, 78 nt
Filed under: Planobispora longispora
Lineage: Bacteria; Bacillati; Actinomycetota; Actinomycetes; Streptosporangiales; Streptosporangiaceae
Description: tRNA-Ser
Source: RNAcentral